CGAUAACGAACGAGACCUUAACCUGCUAAAUAGUUAGGCCAACGUUUGUUGGUCGUCAACUUCUUAGAGGGACUAUUGACUAUUAGUCAAUGGAAAUUUGAGGCAAUAACAGGUCUGUGAUGCCCUUAGAUGUUCUGGGCCGCACGCGCGCUACACUGAUCAAGUCAACGAGUUUACAACCUUGGCCGGAAGGUCUGGGUAAUCUUUUGAAACUUGAUCGUGCUGGGGAUAGUCCAUUGCAAUUAUUGGACUUCAACGAGGAAUUCCUAGUAAGCGUGAGUCAUCAGCUCGCGUUGAUUACGUCCCUGCCCUUUGUACACACCGCCCGUCGCUACUACCGAUUGAAUGGCU
This 351-nucleotide ribosomal RNA is filed under the name uncultured fungus. RNAcentral describes it as "SSU rRNA". It matches the Rfam family "Eukaryotic small subunit ribosomal RNA", at positions 1326 to 1698 of the family's 1831-position model. The record is from RNAcentral. Lineage: Eukaryota; Fungi.